AUUGAAACGCCUGUUCUCAUACGAUAAUCGAAGUUAAGCAACGUUCAGCCUGGUCAGUACCUAGAUGGGUGACCGCUUGGGAAUGAC
Acanthosepion pharaonis is the source of this 87-nucleotide non-coding RNA. The record is from the annotation of a GenBank genome assembly. NCBI's taxonomy places the organism in Eukaryota, Metazoa, Mollusca, Cephalopoda, Sepiida, Sepiidae.